RNAcentral lists this RNase P RNA (387 nucleotides) under Candidatus Gastranaerophilales bacterium. Its description in RNAcentral is "RNase P RNA component class A". It matches the Rfam family "Bacterial RNase P class A". Rfam says of the family: Ribonuclease P (RNase P) is a ubiquitous endoribonuclease, found in archaea, bacteria and eukarya as well as chloroplasts and mitochondria. Its best characterised activity is the generation of mature 5'-ends of tRNAs by cleaving the 5'-leader elements of precursor-tRNAs. Lineage: Bacteria; Bacillati; Candidatus Melainabacteria; Candidatus Gastranaerophilales. The record is from RNAcentral.
AGUGCUGGUGAUUGCGGAGGGCUGGCAAAGGUGCUGCGAGGCUCUAAUGCCAAACCCUCUGAGGAAAGUCCGGGCUCCACAGGGCAGGUCGCCGGAUAACGUCCGGUGCAGGCGACUGUGAGGAUAGUGCCACAGAAAUGUUGACUUCCGAUGGCUCAUAGAUUUGUUCUUUGAGUACAGGAGAUGGUGCAACGGUGGUGUAAGAGACCACCGGCAGUAUCGAGAGGUACUGGCCAGGUAAACCCCGACCGGAGCAAGGCUACAGUUCUUUAUGAACGGGAGAAUCAAGACUGCCCGUCGCUCUCCCAAUACGCCGCUUGAGGUGUGCGGAAACGUUCAUCCCAGAUAGAUAAUCACCUAAUACAGAACCCGGCUUAUGCACGGCUU